GCUGCCGCCGCACUGCCCUCGCUUCCUGAGGAGUGGCGGCAACUGGACCCUGAUGAGAAGAUAGCAUACGGGGAUGUGAUGUUGGAGAACUACAGCCAUCUAGUUUCUGUGGGGUAUGAUUAUCACCAAGCCAAACAUCAUCAUGGAGUGGAGGUGAAGGAAGUGGAGCAGGGAGAGGAGCCGUGGAUAAUGGAAGGUGAAUUUCCAUGUCAACAUAGUCCAGUACAGAACCUGCUAAGGCCAUCAAACCUAUUGAUCGGAAGUCAGUCCAUCAGAUUUGCUCUGGGCCAGUGGUACUGAGUCUAAGCACUGCAGUGAAGGAGUUAGUAGAAAACAGUCUGGAUGCUGGUGCCACUAAUAUUGAUCUAAAGCUUAAGGACUAUGGAGUGGAUCUCAUUGAAGUUUCAGACAAUGGAUGUGGGGUAGAAGAAGAAAACUUUGAAGGCUUAAUCUCUUUCAGCUCUGAAACAUCACACAUGUAAGAUUCAAGAGUUUGCCGACCUAACUGAAGUUGAAACUUUCGGUUUUCAGGGGGAAGCUCUGAGCUCACUGUGUGCACUGAGCGAUGUCACCAUUUCUACCUGCCACGCGUCGGUGAAGGUUGGGACUCGACUGGUGUUUGAUCACGAUGGGAAAAUCAUCCAGGAAACCCCCUACCCCCACCCCAGAGGGACCACAGUCAGCGUGAAGCAGUUAUUUUCUACGCUACCUGUGCGCCAUAAGGAAUUUCAAAGGAAUAUUAAGAAGACGUGCCUGCUUCCCCUUCGCCUUCUGCCGUGAUUGUCAGUUUCCUGAGGCCUCCCCAGCCAUGCUUCCUGUACAGCCUGCAGAACUGUGAGUCAAUUAAACCUCUUUUCUUCAUAAAUUA
Molecule: long non-coding RNA, 868 nt
Organism: Homo sapiens (human)
Lineage: Eukaryota; Metazoa; Chordata; Mammalia; Primates; Hominidae
Gene: PMS2P3
Product: PMS1 homolog 2, mismatch repair system component pseudogene 3
Source: Ensembl